GUGGGGAAUAUUGCACAAUGGAGGAAACUCUGAUGCAGCGACGCCGCGUGAGUGAAGAAGUAUUUCGGUAUGUAAAGCUCUAUCAGCAGGGAAGAAAAUGACGGUACCUGACUAAGAAGCACCGGCUAAAUACGUGCCAGCAGCCGCGGUAAUACGUAUGGUGCAAGCGUUAUCCGGAUUUACUGGGUGUAAAGGGAGCGUAGGUGGCAAGGCAAGCCAGAAGUGAAAACCCGGGGCUCAACCGCGGGAUUGCUUUUGGAACUGUCAUGCUAGAGUGCAGGAGGGGUGAGCGGAAUUCCUAGUGUAGCGGUGAAAUGCGUAGAUAUUAGGAGGAACACCGGAGGCGAAGGCGGCUCACUGGACUGUAACUGACACUGAGGCUCGAAAGCGUGGGGAGCAAACAGGAUUAGAUACCCGAGUAGUCC
Molecule: ribosomal RNA, 425 nt
Filed under: uncultured bacterium
Lineage: Bacteria
Description: bacterial SSU rRNA
Rfam family: Bacterial small subunit ribosomal RNA
Source: RNAcentral